CGUAGGGUGAACCUGCGGAAGGAUCAUUAAAAAAAGAGAAACGUCCCGUUUUUUUCAUAAGAAUGGGUUCUAUUCCCUUAAACCGUGUCUACAUACCUUUGUUGCUUUGGCAGGCCGCCUUCGGGCGUCGGCUCCGGCUGAUAGUGCCUGCCAGAGGACCCAAACUCUAUGUUUAGUGAUGUCUGAGUACUAUAUAAUAUUUAAAACUUUCAACAACGGAUCUCUUGGUUCUGGCAUCGAUGAAGAACGCAGCGAAAUGCGAUAAGUAAUGUGAAUUGCAGAAUUCAGUGAAUCAUCGAAUCUUUGAACGCACAUUGCGCCCCUUGGUAUUCCGAGGGGCAUGCCUGUUCGAGCGUCAUUAUAACCACUCAAGCCUGGCUUGGUAUUGGGGUUUUCGCGUGUUCGCGGCCCUUAAAAUCAGUGGCGGUGCCGUCUGGCCCUAAGCGUAGUAAUUUCUCUCGCUAUAGGGUUCCGGUGGUUACUUGCCAAAACCCCCCAUUUUUUCUAGGUUGACCUCGGAUCAGGUAGGGAUACCCGCUGAA
Molecule: small RNA, 542 nt
Filed under: fungal sp. JH 56
Lineage: Eukaryota; Fungi
Description: eukaryotic LSU rRNA
Rfam family: 5.8S ribosomal RNA (bases 205-358)
Source: RNAcentral